This 253-nucleotide ribosomal RNA is filed under the name uncultured bacterium. Its description in RNAcentral is "partial 16S ribosomal RNA". It matches the Rfam family "Bacterial small subunit ribosomal RNA", at positions 524 to 776 of the family's 1533-position model. The record is from RNAcentral.
UACGUAGGUGGCGAGCGUUGUCCGGAUUUACUGGGCGUAAAGGGAGCGUAGGCGGACUUUUAAGUGAGAUGUGAAAUACUCGGGCUCAACUUGAGUGCUGCAUUUCAAACUGGAGGUCUAGAGUGCAGGAGAGGAGAAUGGGAUUCCUAGUGUAGCGGUGAAAUGCGUAGAGAUUAGGAAGAACACCAGUGGCGAAGGCGAUUCUCUGGACUGUAACUGACGCUGAGGCUCGAAAGCGUGGGGAGCAAACAGG